GCAGUAGUAGUUCAGUGGUAGAAUUCUCACCUUCUGUGUGGGUGACCUGGGUUCGAUUCCCAGCCACCACC
Molecule: transfer RNA, 71 nt
Filed under: Loxodonta africana (African savanna elephant)
Lineage: Eukaryota; Metazoa; Chordata; Mammalia; Proboscidea; Elephantidae
Rfam family: tRNA
About the family: Transfer RNA (tRNA) molecules are approximately 80 nucleotides in length. Their secondary structure includes four short double-helical elements and three loops (D, anti-codon, and T loops). Further hydrogen bonds mediate the characteristic L-shaped molecular structure. tRNAs have two regions of fundamental functional importance: the anti-codon, which is responsible for specific mRNA codon recognition, and the 3' end, to which the tRNAs corresponding amino acid is attached (by aminoacyl-tRNA synthetases). tRNAs cope with the degeneracy of the genetic code in two manners: having more than one tRNA (with a specific anti-codon) for a particular amino acid; and 'wobble' base-pairing, i.e. permitting non-standard base-pairing at the 3rd anti-codon position.
Source: Rfam by way of RNAcentral